GAUUAUUUAGUUUAAAACAAAACAGAUGUUUUGAAAACAUGAGAUAAGAAAGCGUUCUUAAUAAUUG
This 67-nucleotide transfer RNA is filed under the name Tubuca polita. RNAcentral's name for it is "tRNA-Ser". It matches the Rfam family "tRNA". Rfam says of the family: Transfer RNA (tRNA) molecules are approximately 80 nucleotides in length. Their secondary structure includes four short double-helical elements and three loops (D, anti-codon, and T loops). The record is from RNAcentral. Lineage: Eukaryota; Metazoa; Arthropoda; Malacostraca; Decapoda; Ocypodidae.